GGACUUUUUUGUUGUAGGAUCUGGCGAUCCUUUGCUGAUAUAGCUGACCAUGGAAGAUAGCCGCGGUUCACCUUUCGUCUAUUAGAGAUAAUUGGUGAUACCUGUCUUGUACCCAUUAGUUUUCAUCCAGCUGAGCAUCGAUCAACGCUCUGAGAGAUUCCAUCUCAACUUCUAUGGGGAGCACUGCUUCCAUCCCAUAGGUUAAAGCGUAGGGGGUUGCCCCAGUUGAAGUACGCAUUGUGGUCCUGUAGGCUAACAGAGUCAGAGGCAAUAGGUCAGGCCAAUCUUUGUGGUUGACAGACAUCUUUUACAUAAUCUUCUUGAUGUUUUGUUAGCCGCUUCAACAGCACCGUUCAUCUUCGGACGAUAGAUGAUAGAGUUAAGAUGUUUGAUGUGGAAUUUACUGC
Molecule: long non-coding RNA, 407 nt
Filed under: Panax ginseng (ginseng)
Lineage: Eukaryota; Viridiplantae; Streptophyta; Magnoliopsida; Apiales; Araliaceae
Description: long non-coding RNA (PGIN_LNC012919)
Source: RNAcentral